GAUCAUGGCUCAGGAUGAACGCUGGCGGCGUGCCUAACACAUGCAAGUCGAGGGGCAGCAUAAUGGAUAGCAAUAUCUAUGGUGGCGACCGGCGCACGGGUGCGUAACGCGUAUGCAACCUACCUUUAACAGGGGGAUAACACUGAGAAAUUGGUACUAAUACCCCAUAAUAUCAUAGAAGGCAUCUUUUAUGGUUGAAAAUUCCGAUGGUUAGAGAUGGGCAUGCGUUG
Molecule: ribosomal RNA, 230 nt
Filed under: uncultured bacterium
Lineage: Bacteria
Description: partial 16S ribosomal RNA
Rfam family: Bacterial small subunit ribosomal RNA
Source: RNAcentral